AUGAUAGAAAAAGUUCUUCAUUUCUUCAUUCAGGUGGAAUCGGAUCAACUCUAUAUGGACAGGGUGGAAGGGUUAUAUGUACCUCAAUGGCAAAUUAUGGAACUGGGGAUAAUGCAGGAAAUGAGUCAGGUUACAUUGUAGGAAUGACCACUUGUUAUCCUAAACUAGGUUCUGUAAAGAUCAUUGAUGGCGAAAAAUUAAAGAAUAAUGCUACACAUCCAAGUCUUUGGAUCCGGAUCCUCUAAAGUUGUAUUGUCACUUUAAAGAUUAUUAAUCACCAUUGAAUUAAGAUAGAAAAGUGAUUAAAGCAUUACUUUAUCACUUUACUAACAUUGUUACUUUAGAGAAUCUUUUUCUCAAGUCUUUUUGUUAACCAAGUCCAACAAAGUUAGUUAACAUAACAAAAAUCAAUUAUGGCUAGUAUUGCUCCAAGUCUUAUUGUUUAACUUGAUUGGACUUGGUUCAUAAAAUGACUUUGAUGUGUAGCAUUACUCAAAAUUAACUCUGGAGUACUACAGCAGCACCACGCGAGGUCACACCGGAAUCAUGGGGCUUUUCUACCAACUGGUUGUAGAACAGCUUCCUCAUCAACACUACUUCACUCAUUCCUCUCCUUUCUUCAGGAAUAUAAACAAUGUAUUUAACUCAUUUUGGCAAUAAUGUUAAUGGGAGUGGUGUGUCAUGUAAUAUAAUAUAAAUAUGUGGAAAGUAAAAUAAAGUUAUAGCAUAUGAUACUUAUAAAUUAAAUUAAGUUUAUUUAUUGAAAAACUUAUGGGGUCAGCAAUUGUUAGUAUUUUUUGUUGUUAUUUAAUCAGUACAAAUACUAAAUUAUUUAUUAAGCAGGUUUAAAGCUGUUGCCCGGCCUAAACCACCGGAAAAAUAUCCCGCUGACAACCCACACUGCCUAACCUGCCGGAACAAUCAUACAUAUACAAGACGAGACAAUGCAUCGAUUCAAGAACUCGAAAUUUAACUUUAUCUGCAAGCAUUUUUGUCGAAUUCCAUAAGAGGCCAAAACUUUUUUUCGCCCUAUACAAAUGUCACUAACAACGUGUUUGAUCGUCUAUUUCAUGAAACCCUAGAAUCACACACAGCCCAUUAGAAAAGCAUACAGAGCCAGCUUUCAUAUAACCAUGUAAUGUACAUUAUUCAUGCAAUCGGAUUGCAUCUCAUUCAUCAUUGUGUUCUUAGCAAGAUACUAUCACAUAUAAGCAUAAA
Molecule: non-coding RNA, 1218 nt
Organism: Arachis ipaensis
Lineage: Eukaryota; Viridiplantae; Streptophyta; Magnoliopsida; Fabales; Fabaceae
Source: RefSeq, a predicted model, not a curated record